CUACGGGAUGCUCCAGCAGGGAAUAUUGCACAAUGGACGGAAGUCUGAUGCAGCGACGCCGCGUGGAUGAUGAAGGCCCUCGGGUUGUAAAAUCCUUUUCAGGGGGACGAGGAAGGACGGUACCCUUGGAAUAAGCGUCGGCUAACUACGUGCCAGCAGCCGCGGUAAGACGUAGGACGCAAGCGUUAUCCGGAUUUACUGGGCGUAAAGCGUCUGUAGGCGGAAUGGUAAGUUGGACGUGAAAGCUCCGGGCUCAACCCGGAGAGGUCGUUCAAUACUGCCAAACUAGAGGGCAUCAGAGGAGCGUGGAAUUUCCGGUGUAGCGGUAAAAUGCGCAGAUAUCGGAAGGAACACCAAUGGCGAAGGCAGCGCUCUGGGAUGAACCUGACGCUAAGAGACGAAAGCUAGGGGAGCGAACAGGAUUAGAUACCCCGGUAGUC
This 440-nucleotide ribosomal RNA is filed under the name uncultured bacterium. RNAcentral describes it as "partial 16S ribosomal RNA". It matches the Rfam family "Bacterial small subunit ribosomal RNA", at positions 339 to 795 of the family's 1533-position model. The record is from RNAcentral.